Molecule: ribosomal RNA, 1384 nt
Filed under: uncultured bacterium
Lineage: Bacteria
Description: 16S ribosomal RNA
Rfam family: Bacterial small subunit ribosomal RNA
Source: RNAcentral
AGAGUUUGAUCAUGGCUCAGGACGAACGCUGGCGGCGUGCNUUAACACAUGCAAGUCGAACGAUGAAGCCUAGCUUGCUAGGUGGAUUAGUGGCGAACGGGUGAGUAAUACGUGAGUGACCUACCUUUGACUCUGGGAUAAGCCUGGGAAACUGGGUCUAAUACCGGAUACGACCAAUCUCCGCAUGGGGUGUUGGUGGAAAGCGUUAUGGAGUGGUUUUAGAUGGGCUCACGGCCUAUCAGCUUGUUGGUGAGGUAAUGGCUUACCAAGGCGACGACGGGUAGCCGGCCUGAGAGGGUGACCGGCCACACUGGGACUGAGACACGGCCCAGACUCCUACGGGAGGCAGCAGUGGGGAAUAUUGCACAAUGGGCGCAACGUGAUGCAGCGACGCCGCGUGAGGGAUGACGGCCUUCGGGUUGUAAACCUCUGUUAGCAUCGAAGAAGCGAAAGUGACGGUAGGUGCAGAGAAAGCGCCGGCUAACUACGUGCCAGCAGCCGCGGUAAUACGUAGGGCGCGAGCGUGUCCGGAAUUAUUGGGCGUAAAGAGCUUGUAGGCGGUUGGUCGCGUCUGCUGUGAAAGGCUGGGGCUUAACCCUGGUUUUGCAGUGGGUACGGGCUAACUAGAGUGCAGUAGGGGAGACUGGAAUUCCUGGUGUAGCGGUGGAAUGCGCAGAUAUCAGGAGGAACACCGAUGGCGAAAGCAGGUCUCUGGGCUGUAACUGACGCUGAGAAGCGAAAGCAUGGGGAGCGAACAGGAUUAGAUACCCUGGUAGUCCAUGCCGUAAACGUUGGGCACUAGGUGUGGGGGACAUUCCACGUUUUCCGCGCCGUAGCUAACGCAUUAAGUGCCCCGCCUGGGGAGUACGGCCGCAAGGCUAAAACUCAAAGAAAUUGACGGGGGCCCGCACAAGCGGCGGAGCAUGCGGAUUAAUUCGAUGCAACGCGAAGAACCUUACCAAGGCUUGACAUAUACUGGACUGCGUCAGAGAUGGCGUUUCCCUUCGGGGCUGGUAUACAGGUGGUGCAUGGUUGUCGUCAGCUCGUGUCGUGAGAUGUUGGGUUAAGUCCCGCAACGAGCGCAACCCUCGUUCUAUGUUGCCAGCACGUGAUGGUGGGGACUCAUAGGAGACUGCCGGGGUCAACUCGGAGGAAGGUGGGGAUGACGUCAAAUCAUCAUGCCCCUUAUGUCUUGGGCUUCACGCAUGCUACAAUGGCCGGUACAGAGGGUUGCGAUACUGUGAGGUGGAGCUAAUCCCUAAAAGCCGGUCUCAGUUCGGAUUGGGGUCUGCAACUCGACCCCAUGAAGUCGGAGUCGCUAGUAAUCGCAGAUCAGCAACGCUGCGGUGAAUACGUUCCCGGGCCUUGCACACACCGCCCGUCA